GGACACAAUCGUUGUAGACCAAGGUCGGUCUUCCAUGUACGGAUUUGUUGAACCUCAGACCAUUCAACCGUCUGGUAACACACUUCAAAACAGACAACAAUAUUUGCAAACAUGGAUGGAUGAGUCAAAAAGAAACGUAUACCUUGUGCCAUACAUUGAUGGAUAGCAUGCACUGGCAGCUGAUGGUCAUCAUUCCCAAAGCAUGUAAAAUUAUAUGGUUUUGUUCGUUGCAUAGGAAGAUGAAAAAUGACUUGAGAACAAUGCUUCAAGGAGUUAUUGGUAAAUCACGUGGUCAACUGGUUCAAAUCUUGUAUCCAAAG
Molecule: long non-coding RNA, 320 nt
Organism: Vigna angularis (adzuki bean)
Lineage: Eukaryota; Viridiplantae; Streptophyta; Magnoliopsida; Fabales; Fabaceae
Exons: 3
Source: RefSeq, a predicted model, not a curated record